GCAAGUCGAACGGUAACAUAGAAUAGCUUGCUAUUCUGAUGACGAGUGGCGGACGGGUGAGUAACGCGUAGGAAUUUACCUUUCGGUGGGGGAUAGCCCGGUGAAAACCGGAUUAAUACCGCAUAAGCCCUACGGGGGAAACGAGGCCACUUCUUGAAAGCUUCGACCGAUAGAUGAGCCUGCGUUAGAUUAGCUAGUUGGUGGGGUAAUGGCCUACCAAGGCGACGAUCUAUAGCUGGUCUGAGAGGAUGAUC
Molecule: ribosomal RNA, 254 nt
Filed under: uncultured bacterium
Lineage: Bacteria
Description: partial 16S ribosomal RNA
Rfam family: Bacterial small subunit ribosomal RNA
Source: RNAcentral